RNAcentral lists this ribosomal RNA (253 nucleotides) under uncultured bacterium. RNAcentral describes it as "partial 16S ribosomal RNA". It matches the Rfam family "Bacterial small subunit ribosomal RNA", at positions 524 to 776 of the family's 1533-position model. The record is from RNAcentral.
UACAGGGGGGGCAAGCGUUAUCCGGAAUUACUGGGCGUAAAGGGCUCGUAGGUGGCCAACUAAGUCGGACGUGAAAUCCCUCAGCUUAACUGGGGAACUGCGUCCGAUACUGGAUGGCUUGAGUUUGGGAGAGGGAUGCGGAAUUCCAGGUGUAGCGGUGAAAUGCGUAGAUAUCUGGAGGAACACCGGUGGCGAAGGCGGCAUCCUGGACCAACACUGACACUGAGGAGCGAAAGCCAGGGGAGCAAACGGG